GUCCGCAGCAGCGGCACGGGGUUGUCGCCGGACGGCUCGCGCCUGUCGACGGUGCCACGCUGCGGUGGCAGGACCGGAUCCUGGCCGGCCUGCAGGCG
Molecule: transfer RNA, 98 nt
Filed under: Phytohabitans suffuscus
Lineage: Bacteria; Bacillati; Actinomycetota; Actinomycetes; Micromonosporales; Micromonosporaceae
Description: tRNA-Ala
Source: RNAcentral